This is a long non-coding RNA of Lotus japonicus, 1147 nucleotides long. RefSeq lists it as uncharacterized. The record is from RefSeq and is a predicted model, not a curated record. Lineage: Eukaryota; Viridiplantae; Streptophyta; Magnoliopsida; Fabales; Fabaceae. The transcript has 3 exons.
CACUUUUCUAGCAUUGUUUAUGAGUGCCACAGCGUUUGUUAUUUUGUGGCGGGCUUUUCCCUUACUGGGGUUCACUGCUAAUGUCUCCAUUGAUAUCGCUGACGCAUUAUCCUCUUAGGUAUUCCGGCGCGUAUCGAAGACUGAGUCGCUGCUCCUUCCACGCCUCCGCCGCCACCUUUAUCGGAGGAACUUUUUCCCUCCACCGUGUUGGAUUUGGUUUCUAAACUUAUAACAUUGAUAGCAACAUGAUUUCUUAUGUCAUUGGACCUGCAGCUGCAUGUGUUGGUUGAGAAAACAAGUUUAGGUUGGGGGAGAUUUCUAAAAUUCGAGGACUUGGCAUGGGUCUCAUAACCAGUGCACAUUCUAGUUCCUUGGAGUUGCUUUUGAUUUGGAUUCAGGUACUUGAACAAGGAUACUUUCGACCUUGCAGUUAUACUGAGCUUCUCCUUCUGGGCCUUCCACUGACACUGAUAGGCCAUGUAGCAAUAGAUUUUUGCAUCAGGUGAUGGUGAUCAAGCGGCAGUGAUCAACAACCUUUGUUCUGUAGACACUCUGGGAUGAGCGUGGCACAGCCCCAAGAUCAUCAUUGAGCUUCUCUGCAGAAGAAAAGCAAGUAGGAAUCCCAAUUGAGUCUUGCAUAUUCUUGAUGAUGAAGUUCAGGUGCACUGUGCACAGCCUGAUAGAUAUGCGAAGAAGCUAUAGAAAUCAGAAAUUGAUAAUAAGAGAAGAACGGGUUGGGGUAAGUUAUAAUAUAAACUUGUGAAAGGUGUGAGAGCCUGAAAGAUUUUAGUCCCAAUUUGAAUAAAAUUCAGAUGCUGCCAGAGGUGUUCUUGGCUGCAUUAAUUGAAAUUUUUCUUAAAAAAGCUGGCAUGCUUAAGAUUGGUUUUCAUAUUUCUUUAUAUGUCACCAGAUAUCUUUACUGAGGGUGUUUCUACUCAGUGGAAAGACAGAGGUCACUGAAAUGUUUUAGGCUGUGACCAUUUGGAUUAUUAGAAGAAUGUCAACUUUGUAUUCAAUUUCAAAAUUCAAAAAUCUUCAUUUAUGUCAUGCCAUUUGUUCUGGAUAUAAGGAAUUGAAGACAGCUUCUGUUUGUCCUCCUGUAUAUUAAUUCAUUUAAUUUAUGUCAUUCAUUUUAUUUUGCAGCUAA